UGGGGAAUUUUGGACAAUGGGCGAAAGCCUGAUCCAGCCAUGCCGCGUGAGUGAAGAAGGCCUUCGGGUUGUAAAGCUCUUUUAGUCGGAAAGAAAGAGUCGCAAUGAAUAAUUGUGAUUUAUGACGGUACCGACAGAAAAAGCACCGGCUAACUACGUGCCAGAAGCCGCGGUAAUACUUAGGGUGCGAGCGUUAAUCGGAAUUACUGGGCGUAAAGGGUGCGCAGGCGGUUUUGCAAGUCAGAUGUGAAAGCCCCGGGCUUAACCUGGGAGUUGCGUUUGAAACUACAAGGCUAGAGUGCAGCAGAGGGGAGUGGAAUUCCAUGUGUAGCAGUGAAAUGCGUAGAGAUGUGGAAGAACACCGAUGGCGAAGGCAGCUCCCUGGGUUGACACUGACGCUCAUGCACGAAAGCGUGGGGAGCAAACA
Molecule: ribosomal RNA, 427 nt
Filed under: uncultured beta proteobacterium
Lineage: Bacteria; Pseudomonadati; Pseudomonadota; Betaproteobacteria
Description: bacterial SSU rRNA
Rfam family: Bacterial small subunit ribosomal RNA
Source: RNAcentral